UAAAUUAUGUUUUUCAGAUAAACGACAAUAGUUAUGUGAGGAGAAUGGCCUGUGGCUUGAGAGAGCCAGUAAAAGAAAAAGAAAAGAGAGAACAGUGGAAAGGACAGAGAAAGAGAAAAGUAUGCAAUCAGGAAACAGGAAACAGAGGAAGAGAGAAAGACAAUUUGAUAAUGGGAGCGUAGAGAGUGAAGAAGAAUACAAUGAAAGAUUGGACAGCGGAAUAGAGAAUCAGAACAUAGGAAAAUCACACAACGAGACAGUAGAAAGCGAAGAAGAUAACGACGAAAGAUUGGAAAGGGGGAUAUGGAAUCAGACAAUAGGACAAACACGUAAUGAGAGCGUAGAGAGCGAUGAAGAAAAUGAUGAAAGAUUAGACAGGGGAAUAUGGAAUCAGACAACAGGCGACAAUGGGAAUAAUGAGAGAGUAGAGAGCGAUGAAGAAAACGAUGAGAAACAGGUAAUGUAGAAAGCGAAGAAGAAUACGACGGAAGAUGGGACAAAGGAAUAGGGAGCCAGAAAAUAAGACAAUCAGAUAACGAGAGCGUACGAAGCGAAGAAGAAAACUUUGAAAUAUGGGGGAAAUGGGGGAACAGGUAACAAAUAUAUACAAAAUAGAAUUCAAAUUUCAAAGAUUGUUUGUUACAACAUAACAAGGGUACAAAGCAAACAGACAAUGACACUUUAGAAAACGAAGAAGAAGACGAGGAAGGAAGGAGCAAAGGCAUGGGAAAACAG
RNAcentral lists this unclassified non-coding RNA (735 nucleotides) under Daphnia magna. RNAcentral describes it as "uncharacterized LOC123466447, transcript variant X1". The record is from RNAcentral. Lineage: Eukaryota; Metazoa; Arthropoda; Branchiopoda; Diplostraca; Daphniidae.